Long non-coding RNA from Anopheles merus, 1865 nucleotides. RefSeq lists it as uncharacterized. The transcript is spliced from 4 exons. Lineage: Eukaryota; Metazoa; Arthropoda; Insecta; Diptera; Culicidae. The record is from RefSeq and is a predicted model, not a curated record.
GACGCACCAGUCGGCAAACUCCUCUCCCGCUGCAAAAACUUCUGCCGGCCUCAGAGAGACAUUACAGAAACCCAUGUCCGGCCGCUUCCGCCGGCGAGCAGCGUUACCACAUCGCCCUUGUGCACCGAAACCGCAUCCGAGCAGUAGUUCUCCGUGAUGGCAAGCAGUGUCUGUCGAACGGCGGCCGCAGCGGCGGCUCCCGCUGUGCAAACUCCACUCCCAGGCACCGAUAACGUCCCAUUCGCGUUGGUCGUACCGUAGCGAGAGCAUAGCAACAUAAACGUGGUACCGUGCCGUCACAGUGCAGAAAGAAACGGCCGAUUAUUUGGAAUGAGGCGAUGAACCGAGAGAGCGAAACGAUUCGAAGAGCAUCGCGUUAUGCUGCUGUCAACAAAGCAGCGGGCGGGCCAGCAGCCACACGGACAGCGCUGCAAAAGGAUUCACGCUUUGAGAAUCCAUCUGUUGCUAGACCGCAUCAAACACAACGGCCACUCGUUCAACAUCCAACCAGCUCUGCUGUCUAGAGUCGGUCGACUCUAGUCAAAGUGUAUGCAAUGAGCGCUGCCGGUAUCUACGUCACUCGAUCUGUCGCAUUUCAUGUCAACGCCGGUACGGCAGCAUAACAGUGAGGAGUGAAACGAAACCCGGGCCAUAGGCAAACGCUCCCGCAGCAGCAUAACAGCCUUACCCUCAACCGCCUCCGGACUACGGCAACUAAAACAAAAGAUUAAACCCGAUUCUGCCCGAUGAUUCGGUGUAGCCUGUCCACCUUUAAUCCGGGUGGAUCGUUCACCGUGGCGUGGCUAUUUCGUAAGCCAAGAAAGCCAACCUUCGAUACAGUUGGGAGAGAUGGGCAGGCCAAAAAAAAGGGUGUCUAGCGUGUGCUCUCUCCUCGCUGCUUGUGCGUCCGCGCUGCUAGAAAAAUGAAAUCGAAACAACAAACGAAAACAAUCUUCACGCGCGCCACCCAAGCCCAGCCUCUUCCAACAGCGCAACUGUGUGUCCACCUUUGGUGUCCCAUCUGUGAGGUUCUUUUUUUGGACGUCUUUCUUUCACUCUCGUCCUCUCGUGCCUUUUUUGUUUUGUGCUUGCUCAUCCAAUUCUGAUGAGAUUAGAUUUUUUUAACCCCUUUACGCACCCUAUUCUACCGUGCCGAGACGGUCGGCUGGCUCAACUUCGAUUCGAUCGACGAACAUUUUUCUCCCUGGCCUUUCGAAGCUUGGCAAAAGCAUUCGUUGGUGUAUGUGUGUGUGUGUGUAUGUAUCGCGGAUCUAACGAUCAUCUCCCGUGCUUGACAAACCACACCACUGAAACAAUCUCGGCCGGGGGGUAGCAGGGCACCAAAGCACUGGCUGGUAGGCUGUAACGCGCCAAAUUACACGCUCGUGAUGGUGGUGAAUUUAUUUAGAUUAGCUUCCAUUUUCGGCCAUACGCGUACAUAUUGGAUGCGCAUUACAACACACACACACAUAUACACACACACCAGCACACGAAUAAGGGCUAAAGGAAGGCAACAGACAAACGAAAGCAACACGUGCCCGUGUGUUGUUUCUGUGCUUCUCGCGUGCGUUUGUUUAGAAGAAGGGUCUUAAUUCCUGCCUGAUUAAGAUAGAACCGCCGCUUCACCGCGGUCUGCAAAAGAGGGGAGGGAGUAAAGGGGGGUUUCAAGUGACGAAUGUUGAUUUGUUGUACACCCCUUUCCCGCCCUUAGUCGGGUGGUUGGGUGAAGAAAAAAUCGUUUUUCUCCUCCCAUCGCAGUGGCGUACAGCUUCUCGUUAAGGGUCUUCUGGGGCCGCUGUAGCUUAUCGCGAAGAAGCAAAAACACAGAACCAAAAAAAAUAUAUAUAGGAGGCAAUAUUUCAGUA